RNAcentral lists this ribosomal RNA (703 nucleotides) under Xanthomonas sp. 4R30-401. RNAcentral describes it as "bacterial SSU rRNA". It matches the Rfam family "Bacterial small subunit ribosomal RNA", at positions 78 to 780 of the family's 1533-position model. The record is from RNAcentral. Lineage: Bacteria; Pseudomonadati; Pseudomonadota; Gammaproteobacteria; Lysobacterales; Lysobacteraceae.
CUCUGGGUGGCGAGUGGACGGACGGGUGAGGAAUACAUCGGAAUCUACCGUUUGCGUGGGGGAUAACGAUAGGGAAACUUACGCUAAGUACCGCAUAAGACCUUCGGGUGAAAGCCGGGGACCUUCGGGCCUGGCGCGGAUAGAUGAGCCGAUGUCGGAUUAGCUUGUUGGCGGGGUAAAAGCCCACCAAGGCGACGAUCCGUAGCUGGUCUGAGAGGAUGAUCAGCCACACUGGAACUGAGACACGGUCCAGACUCCUACGGGAGGCAGCAGUGGGGAAUAUUGGACAAUGGGCGCAAGCCUGAUCCAGCCAUACCGCGUGGGUGAAGAAGGCCUUCGGGUUGUAAAGCCCUUUUGUUGGGAAAGAAAUCCUGCCGGUUAAUAACCAGUAGGGAUGACGGUACCCAAAGAAUAAGCACCGGCUAACUUCGUGCCAGCAGCCGCGGUAAUACGAAGGGUGCAAGCGUUACUCGGAAUUACUGGGCGUAAAGCGUGCGUAGGUGGUCGUUUAAGUCUGUCGUGAAAGCCCUGGGCUCAACCUGGGAAUUGCGAUGGAUACUGGGCGACUAGAGUGUGGUAGAGGAUAGUGGAAUUCCGGUGUACCAGUGAAAUGCGUAAAGAUCGGAAGGAACAUCUGUGGCGAAGGCAACUUCUGGGCCAACCCUGACCCUGAGGCACAAAAGCGUGGGGAGCAACAGGAUUA